This 1513-nucleotide ribosomal RNA is filed under the name uncultured bacterium. RNAcentral's name for it is "16S ribosomal RNA". It matches the Rfam family "Bacterial small subunit ribosomal RNA". The record is from RNAcentral.
AGUUUGAUCCUGGCUCAGGAUAAACGCUGGCGGCGCACAUAAGACAUGCAAGUCGAACGGAAGUCGUUACUAAAUGGAUUGACGAUUUAUCASAAAGAAGUUUAGUAACAAUGGCUUUAGUGGCGGACUGGUGAGUAACGCGUAAGGAAUCUGCCCAUUAGAGGGGAAUAACAAUGAGAAAUCAUUGCUAAUACCGCAUAUGCCAUAAUUAUCGCAUGAUAAUAGUGGGAAAGGAGAAAUCCGCUGAUGGAUGAUCUUGCGUCUGAUUAGUUAGUUGGUGGGGUAAAGGCCUACCAAGACGACGAUCAGUAGCCGGACUGAGAGGUUGAACGGCCACAUUGGGACUGAGAUACGGCCCAGACUCCUACGGGAGGCAGCAGUCGGGAAUAUUGCGCAAUGGAGGGAACUCUGACGCAGUGACGCCGCGUAUAGGAAGAAGGUUUUCGGAUUGUAAACUAUUGUCGUUAGGGAAGAAGAAGUGACAGUACCUAAGGAGGAAGCUCCGGCUAACUACGUGCCAGCAGCCGCGGUAAUACGUAGGGAGCGAGCGUUAUCCGGAUUUAUUGGGUGUAAAGGGUGCGUAGACGGGUGAUUAAGUUAGCUGUGAAAUCCCUCGGCUUAACUGAGGAACUGCAACUAAAACUGGUCAUCUUGAGUGCAGGAGAGGUAAGUGGAAUUCCUAGUGUAGCGGUGAAAUGCGUAGAUAUUAGGAGGAACACCAGUGGCGAAGGCGACUUACUGGACUGUAACUGACGUUGAGGCACGAAAGUGUGGGGAGCAAACAGGAUUAGAUACCCUGGUAGUCCACACCGUAAACGAUGGAUACUAGGUGUAGGGGAUAUUAAGUCUUCUGUGCCGUCGCAAACGCAAUAAGUAUCCCACCUGGGGAGUACGGCCGCAAGGUUGAAACUCAAAGGAAUUGACGGGGGCCCGCACAAGCAGUGGAGUAUGUGGUUUAAUUCGAAGCAACGCGAAGAACCUUACCAGGGCUUGACAUAUACAGGAAUAUAUUAGAGAUAGUAUAGCUCUUCGGAGUCUGUAUACAGGUGGUGCAUGGUUGUCGUCAGCUCGUGUCGUGAGAUGUUGGGUUAAGUCCCGCAACGAGCGCAACCCCUGUCUUUAGUUGCCAGCACGUAAAGGUGGGAACUCUAAAGAGACUGCCGUAGACAAUACGGAGGAAGGUGGGGAUGACGUCAAAUCAUCAUGCCCUUUAUGUCCUGGGCUACACACGUACUACAAUGGCUGUUACAGAGGGAGGCAACACAGCGAUGUGAAGCGGAACCCAAAAAGCAGUCUCAGUUCGGAUUGAAGGCUGAAAUUCGCCUUCAUGAAGCCGGAAUUGCUAGUAAUGGCAGGUCAGCAUACUGCCGUGAAUACGUUCCCGGGCCUUGUACACACCGCCCGUCACACCAUGAGAGUUGGGAAUACCCGAAGCCUGUGAGCCAACUUUUCAAGAGGCAGCAGUCGAAGGUAGAAUCAAUGAUUGGGGUGAAGUCGUAACAAGGUAACCGUA